Molecule: ribosomal RNA, 460 nt
Filed under: uncultured bacterium
Lineage: Bacteria
Description: partial 16S ribosomal RNA
Rfam family: Bacterial small subunit ribosomal RNA
Source: RNAcentral
CCUACGGUGCGCAGCAGUGAGGAAUAUUGGUCAAUGGGCGAGAGCCUGAACCAGCCAAGUCGCGUGAAGGAUGACGGCCCUACGGGUUGUAAACUUCUUUUGUCAGGGAGCAAUUGAGUCCACGUGUGGUCUUAGCGAGCGUACCUGAAGAAAAAGCAUCGACUAACUCCGUGCCAGCAGCCGCGGUAAUACGGAGGAUGCGAGCGUUAUCCGGAUUGAGUGGGGUUAAAGGGUGCGUAGGCGGAAUAUCAAGUCAGCGGUAAAAAUUCGGGGCUCAACCCCGUCGUGCCGUUGAAACUUAUGUUCUUGAGUGGGCGAGAAGUAUGCGGAAUGCGGGGCGUAGCGGUGAAAUGCAUAGAUAUCACGCAGAACUCCGAUUGCGAAGGCAGCAUACCGGCGCCCAACUGACGCUGAAGCACGAAAGCGUGGGUAUCGAACAGGAUUAGAUACCCGAGUAGUC